Molecule: ribosomal RNA, 253 nt
Filed under: uncultured bacterium
Lineage: Bacteria
Description: partial 16S ribosomal RNA
Rfam family: Bacterial small subunit ribosomal RNA
Source: RNAcentral
UACGUAGGUGGCAAGCGUUGUCCGGAAUUAUUGGGCGUAAAGCGCGCGCAGGUGGUUUAAUAAGUCUGAUGUAAAAGCCCACGGCUCAACCGUGGAAGGUCAUUGGAAACUGUUAAACUUGAGUGCAGGAGAGAAAAGUGGAAUUCCUAGUGUAGCGGUGAAAUGCGUAGAGAUUAGGAGGAACACCGGUGGCGAAAGCGGCUCUCUGGCUUGUAACUGACGCUGAGGCUCGAAAGCGUGGGGAGCAAACAGG